Molecule: ribosomal RNA, 538 nt
Filed under: uncultured bacterium
Lineage: Bacteria
Description: bacterial SSU rRNA
Rfam family: Bacterial small subunit ribosomal RNA
Source: RNAcentral
AGAGUUUGAUCCUGGCUCAGAACGAACGCUGGCGGCGUGCUUAACACAUGCAAGUCGAACGCGAAAGGGACUUCGGUCCUGAGUAAAGUGGCGCACGGGUGAGUAACGCGUAGAUAACCUGUCUUUAUGUCUGGAAUAAUACGCCGAAAGGGGUACUAAUACCGGAUACUCUUGCUUUAUAUAAGUUUUGCAAGCAAAGGUGGCCUCUGACGUAAGCUACUGCAUAAAGAGGGGUCUGCGUACCAUUAGCUUGUAGGUGGGGUAAUGGCCUACCUAGGCAACGAUGGGUAGCUGGUCUGAGAGGAUGAUCAGCCACACUGGAACUGGUACACGGUCCAGACUCCUACGGGAGGCAGCAGUGAGGAAUUUUGCGCAAUGGGGGAAACCCUGACGCAGCAACGCCGCGUGAGUGAUGAAGGCUUUCGAGUCGUAAAGCUCUGUCAAGUGGGAAGAAGUCAUGCAUGGCCAAUAUCCAUGUAUGUUGACGGUACCACUGAAGGAAGCACCGGCUAACUCCGUGCCAGCAGCCGCGGUAAUA